RNAcentral lists this long non-coding RNA (899 nucleotides) under Carica papaya (papaya). RNAcentral's name for it is "long non-coding RNA (CPAP_LNC016522)". The record is from RNAcentral. Lineage: Eukaryota; Viridiplantae; Streptophyta; Magnoliopsida; Brassicales; Caricaceae.
AAGAAUCAAAAUCCGAAAGUUCUUUUUUUUGUGUGGUUAAAUGCCAAAAAGUCAAGUCGGCUCAUUCGUCUUUAUCUUGUGUUGAUCAUUACAGGCCUCUUGAAUCUUCUAUAUUACCAAUUUGAGUUCUUUUUUUGAUUUGGUAUUUGUAUGUAAUGUGGCUUUAUUCUUGUUUUCUUUAUUAUUGAUAGGAAUUCUCUUGUUAAGACCCUACGAAUCAAUUGAAACCUCAGAUUCAUACUAGAACCACGAUGAUUCAAUAAAACCUUCAAUUCAAAGUCCAAAGAUUCCCUGAGUAAGAACCCUUGGAUGAUCACUUAUUCAAUGAAUAGAAUAGAUAUAAUGACUAAAAAAAGAAAAUACAAAGAAGCGUUUGUCCUUUGAUCAAAAUAUGCAUAAACAAGAGUUUAAAAGAAGAAAUGUCUUUCGAUUUAGAAUAAAUAUAUAACUUUUUCUUUGGAAAAGAGUCCGGUUACGAGGUCUGAAUAUUAAGUACGAAUCAUAGUCCGAAUACUUUGUGAUCUAUUUCAUAUAUUCCGUGCUCCAGAUACUAGAAUGAAUAUCCGACGAGGUAAAACCAUCUUUAUCAAGAUGACAGACCCAUUCUCUGUGGUCUCAAUAGGAUCAAUUAUAACAAGUCACACACUCAUAUUCCGGAAAUACAACACAGAAGGAAAGAAAUUUCACGGUCGAACUACCAAAACAGAAUAGGCUAAAAAUCCGAGACCUAAAUGCUUCACUUCACUUUUUGUAUUGAAAAGGCUACGACUUCGUGGUUCUUGUGAGUCUAAGUAUUUGAUAUGUCAGUAAGUUAAGGCAGAGCAUCAGCGCCCAGGCGGAUUACUUCAGCCUUUACCGAUUCCGGAAUGGGAGUGAGAAUAUAUCGCCAUGGACUUCGU